GUGCAAGAAAAGAAAACUAAAGAUUUUCAAAUUAAAGAAAAAUAUGCAUCAUGUUUUCGAUAAUAUUUUUGUGUAUCUUUUUAUGUAACAUGGUUUGAUCAAUUUUUACAAUGUUCCCCAUCUAAAUUGGCAGGAAAAAAAUUUAUAAAAAGUAUACAGUUUUAUAGCAAGUUAAGUUAACAAAUCUACUUUUAACGAAGCUUGAAAUAAAAAGUUUGCAAAAUAGUGUAUGUAUAGAUUUAUGUUCUGUUGUUGUUCAUUUACUAUAAACAAGUAUAUGAAUUUGGAAAUGGAAAUUUAGUUCAACGCCAAUAGCAAUUGUGAUAAAGUAAUUUAAGAUCAUUUAAAGUUCAGUCAAGCAACACCUGAAAAUGGUCAACUUUUUGUUUAAUAUAGAUUGCUGUUCCAAAUACAAGUUGCAGAUAUGAUCCAAUACUUUAUGUCAAGCAAGGUUCAGAUUUUAAACCAAACAAACUUACUAUCUGUUGAUCUUCUGCUUUGUUUUGAAGUUAUGAGUUCAGAUAGAUAUAUGUUUUGUUCAAAGCAGAUCAGCCAACCAUAUAAAGGACAGAUAAAACUGACCCUCAUCUCAGGCUUAAGGGUCAAUUAAUGCAAUUUUUCAAAAGCUUUUUUGAAGUAUGCAACCCUGAUGUCUUGAUGGGCACAAUCACAUGGAAGUAAUGUAAUAUUAAAUUAAAUAUUAAAGUAUAAAAUUUGCAUUUA
Hydra vulgaris (swiftwater hydra) is the source of this 723-nucleotide non-coding RNA. Lineage: Eukaryota; Metazoa; Cnidaria; Hydrozoa; Anthoathecata; Hydridae. The record is from RefSeq and is a predicted model, not a curated record.